Molecule: long non-coding RNA, 1774 nt
Organism: Macaca mulatta (Rhesus monkey)
Lineage: Eukaryota; Metazoa; Chordata; Mammalia; Primates; Cercopithecidae
Source: Ensembl
GGUAAAUGAAACCCUUUGAAUAAAGAGAAUGGUUCUCUCUCUCACACACACACUCUCUCUCUCUUUCUUUCUCUUGCCCUCGCUCUCUCUUGCUCUCUCCUGCUCUCUCUCUCUCUCAUCCUCCCAGAAAGAGCCAGAUUAGACUUAUUGGAAGACUGUGCCUUGGUGAUUCAUACAACUUUCUGGGAUCUUUUGAUUAAUGGAGAAAAAGUCAUAAGAUCAGCAAGAAGAGAAACUAGAUUUUUGCCUCAACUCAACAUGUUAAGUAAUCACCUGACAUCUGCAAAAGACCACCUCUUGGCACCUGGCUACACAAGCUGAAAUGGGUAAUUCACUAAUUACUUGGGUGUGUGCCUCUUUAAAUGAGUUGUGGAGUGGGUGAAUAUUUGGGGGAUUCCACUGGAGUGAAACACAGCUGUUGAAUUAUUUAUGUUCACUUGAAAAGCACAGAACACAAAAGUCCUGUGAUUUCACCUCAGCAUUUCCAGCCUCCAUGGACAGAUUUUGUCUGGUGCUUGAGAUCCAGGUCCUGUUUCUAGCAGGCCCAAUUGUAACUUAUGACUUAACCCUCUAAGUAAAGGGCUCUUGACUGGCAGGCACCUCUCUCUGAGGACAAGAAAAUAAUCUAAUAGGAUUUAUUAUUCCUCUGAAUACUUCCAGUUUUAGUGCAAUUAAAUUAAUGUGAACAUAUUUUUCUGUGGUCCUGUCUUGCACUAGGCUCUCAAACGCUCUCCCUGUGUGUGUGUGUGUGUGUGUGUGUGUGUGUUGGGGGGAGUGGCAUGUGCACUUUGUUUUAUGUUAUAUUUUCAUAAAUAGCCAGCAGACUGAAGAGGGCAUGGACAAUCAGACCUCUAGCUCCUGGCAAGGAAUUACAAACUGAAGGAAAUCAGCUUUAAAAGCUUUUUUGGCCCCUCACAUUAUUUUUAAGCAAAACCUAACAAGGAUAUGAGGAAGGAAAGGAGGCAGUAUACUUUUCAAGGAAACUAACUUGAAACUAUUUAGAGGCAUGCUAUCUACAGUUUCUAUUAAAACAAACAAACAAACAAACAAAAAACGUUCUCAAUACCUUCCUUUCUUCCUAAGGUUUAAAAUAAUCCUUAAAGCCAAUAUAAUUACAGCAUUUACUUCCAGUCCACAUCCAUUUUGUUAGCCGUCUCCAACCUCAACCUUGCAUAUCCUUCACCACUAGAAACCACCUCAUUUUAACUGAAAAAAAACAAAAAACGAAAAACUGUAAAACAAAAGCAAAGACUCGUAAUGAUGUAUGGCUUUAAUUCUUAGCAUAGACAAACAGUUCGUUACAGAUGAGCAUAAAUUAAACGACUAACAACAAAAUCUGUGCUUUACUUGGUGAUCCUGGGUUGACCUUUUCCUAAGAUGUACUUCUGUUGUGGUCCCUGGGAAGAAAUACCUAUUGAGGGACAGGAUUCUGACUGUAAAGACAUGAUUAUAAUUCACAGAGCAGAUUAAAAGUUCACAAACAAGCUAUUCAUUUCUUCUAAACUUCCCAGCCAAAACCCCUCUAGACUAUACUUUCACAACUCCUGCAUAAGGAUUUCACUAAGAGUUCAGGCUAUCUUCCUUCCAGUUCCCACUAUACCUAUUGCUGACUGUUGGAAUUCUCCACCACUAAGCGUGGGCAGUCUGACUCACUCUAGGGUCUGAGAAUAGGGGCCUCCACAUCAUGAAGUUCAAGUCUUGUGAAAAAUAAGGAACAUUAGACAGUGUAACCACACCAGUUAAAUAAAGACCCAAGGCAAAAUCAUGCUGGGGA